Non-coding RNA from Echinops telfairi (small Madagascar hedgehog), 1133 nucleotides. Lineage: Eukaryota; Metazoa; Chordata; Mammalia; Afrosoricida; Tenrecidae. The record is from the annotation of a RefSeq genome assembly.
AUGGCCAUGAGGGCAGAGUCUGGAGAAGGUUUGGGGCUCACACUCCCUUCCAAGCCCAAGGCCACCCCCCAUGUCUUCCCACUGAGUCUCUCGAGUGCCACCCAGGAUGGAACUGUGGUCGUCGGCUGCCUGAUCCAGGGCUUCUUCCCACCGGCACCUGUGAACGUGACUUGGAUACACAAUGGUGAUAGUGUGACUGUCAAAGACUUCCCUGCCAUCAAGGCUUCGUCUGGGGAGCUGUACACCAUGAGCAGCCAGCUCACGCUGCCAGCUGCCCAGUGCCCGGACACCUCAGCCCUCCAGUGCCAUGUGCAACAUUACAACAGCCCGGACCAGGUGGUCAGGGUGCCCUGCAAAGUUCCAAAGCCAAACAGCUGCUGCCAGCCACACCUGUCGCUGAGCCGGCCAGCCCUGGAAGACCUGCUCCUUGGCGCUGAUGCCAAGCUCACCUGCACACUGAGUGGCCUGAGAAAUCCUGAGGGGGCCACCUUCACCUGGCAGCCCUCCAACGGGAAGGACGCCAUACAGGGGUCACCUGAGCAUGACUCCUGCGGCUGCUACAAAGUGUCCAGUGUCCUCCCUGGCUGCGCAGAUCCCUGGAACCGCGGCCAGAUCUUCACAUGUUCAGCGACUCACCCCGAAGCCAGAAACCUGCCACCGAUCAGCAUCUCCAAAGACUCAGGGGUCACAAUUCCGCCUCAGGUGUAUGUGCAUCCGCCCGCGGCUGAGGAACUGGCCAUGAAUGAGCUGGUGACGCUCACCUGCGUGGUACUUGGCUUCAGCCCCCGGGACAUGCUGGUACGCUGGCUGCAUGAGGACCAAGAGCUGCCCAGCAGUGACUUUCUGACCUGGGAUCCCCUCCAGGAACCAAAGACCAGGAAUCCCCUCCAGGGUACCCCCACCUACACCGUGACCAGCCUGCUGCGCAUUUCGGCUGAGACCUGGAAAAGGGAAGAUAACUUCUCCUGCAUGGUGGGCCAUGAGGCCCUGCCGACGUCCUUCAUCCAGAAGAGCAUCAACAAGUUGGCUGGUAAACCCACCAAUGUCAACGUGUCUGUGAUCAUGUCUGAGGGGAAUGGCGUCUGCUACUAAGCCCCAGCACUGCUCCUCAAAUAAACCAGAAAGAGCCCUUC